RNAcentral lists this ribosomal RNA (1268 nucleotides) under metagenome. Its description in RNAcentral is "bacterial LSU rRNA". It matches the Rfam family "Bacterial large subunit ribosomal RNA", at positions 1680 to 2925 of the family's 2925-position model. The record is from RNAcentral.
CCCAAGGCGAUCGGGUGAACUGUGGUUAAGGAACUCGGCAAAUUGCCCCCGUAACUUCGGGAGAAGGGGGACCUCUGUUGGUGAUGGGCUUUACGCCUUGAGCUGGUGGGGGUCGCAGUGGCCAGGGGGAAGCGACUGUUUACUAAAAACACAGGUCCAUGCGAAGUCGUAAGACGAUGUAUACGGACUGACGCCUGCCCGGUGCCGGAACGUUAAGGGGACUGCUUAGUCAACGCGAGUUGGCGAAGGUGAGAACUUAAGCGCCGGUAAACGGCGGUGGUAACUAUAACCAUCCUAAGGUAGCGAAAUUCCUUGUCGGGUAAGUUCCGACCUGCACGAAUGGCGUAACGACUUCCCCGCUGUCUCAACCGCAGACCCGGCGAAAUUGCACUACGAGUAAAGAUGCUCGUUUCGCGCAGCAGGACGGAAAGACCCCGGGACCUUCACUACAGCUUGACAUUGGCGUUUGGAACGUCUUGUGUAGGAUAGGUGGGAGACUGGGAAGCUGUCACGCUAGUGAUGGUGGAGUCAUUGGUGAAAUACCACUCUGGUCGUUUUGAACGUCUAACUCUGGUCCGUGAUCCGGAUCGGGGACAGUGUCUGGUGGGUAGUUUAACUGGGGCGGUUGCCUCCUAAAGAGUAACGGAGGCGCCCAAAGGUUCCCUCAGCCUGGUUGGCAAUCAGGUGUUGAGUGUAAGUGCACAAGGGAGCUUGACUGUGAGACUGACAGGUCGAGCAGGAGCGAAAGCUGGGACUAGUGAUCCGGCAUCGGCGUGUGGAAGCGGUGUCGCUCAACGGCUAAAAGGUACCCCGGGGAUAACAGGCUGAUCUUCCCCAAGAGUCCAUAUCGACGGGAUGGUUUGGCACCUCGAUGUCGGCUCGUCGCAUCCUGGGGCUGGAGUAGGUCCCAAGGGUUGGGCUGUUCGCCCAUUAAAGCGGUACGCGAGCUGGGUUUAGAACGUCGCGAGACAGUUCGGUCCCUAUCCGCUGCGCGCGCAGGAGACUUGAAGGGGGCUGUCCCUAGUACGAGAGGACCGGGACGGACGAACCUCUGGUGUGCCAGUUGUACCGCCAGGUGCACGGCUGGUUGGCUACGUUCGGAAGGGAUAACCGCUGAAAGCAUCUAAGCGGGAAGCUCGCCUUGAGAUGAGGUCUCCCACCCCGUGAGGGGGUAAGGCUCCCGGUAGACGACCGGGUUGAUAGGCCGGAGGUGGAAGCACGGUAACGUGUGGAGCUGACCGGUACUAAUAGGCCGAGGACUUGAUCAA